RNAcentral lists this ribosomal RNA (440 nucleotides) under uncultured bacterium. Its description in RNAcentral is "partial 16S ribosomal RNA". It matches the Rfam family "Bacterial small subunit ribosomal RNA", at positions 338 to 795 of the family's 1533-position model. The record is from RNAcentral.
CCUACGGGAGGCAGCAGUGGGGGAUAUUGCACAAUGGGGGGAACCCUGAUGCAGCGACGCCGCGUGGGGGAAGAAGCGCCUCGGCGCGUAAAGCCCUGUCAGCAGGGAGGAAACUGCCGGUACCUGAAGAAGAAGCCCCGGCUAACUACGUGCCAGCAGCCGCGGUAACGAGGAGGGGGCAGGCGUUAUCCGGAUUUACUGGGGGUAAAGGGGGCGCAGACGGCGAUGCAAGGCCGGAGUGAAGGGCCGGGGGCAAACCCCGGGACUGCGCUUGAAACUGCGUGGCUGGAGUGCAGGAGGGGCAGGCGGAAUUCGUGGUGUAGCGGUGAAAUGCGUAGAUAUCAGGAGGAACACCGGUGGCGAAGGCGGCCUGCCGGACUGCAACUGACGUUGAGGCCCGAAGGGGCGGGGAGCAAACAGGAGUAGAUACCCGAGUAGUC